GGACGUGGCGGCAUGCCUAUACAUGCAGUCGAGCGAAUGGAUUAAGAGCUUGCUCUUAUGAAGUUAGCGGCGGACGGGUGAGUAACACGUGGGUAACCUGCCCAUAAGACUGGGAUAACUCCGGGAAACCGGGGCUAAUACCGGAUAACAUUUUGAACCGCAUGGUUCGAAAUUGAAAGGCGGCUUCGGCUGUCACUUAUGGAUGGACCCGCGUCGCAUUAGCUAGUUGGUGAGGUAACGGCUCACCAAGGCAACGAUGCGUAGCCGACCUGAGAGGGUGAUCGGCCACACUGGGACUGAGACACGGCCCAGACUCCUACGGGAGGCAGCAGUAGGGAAUCUUCCGCAAUGGACGAAAGUCUGACGGAGCAACGCCGCGUGAGUGAUGAAGGCUUUCGGG
Molecule: ribosomal RNA, 400 nt
Filed under: Bacillus anthracis (anthrax bacterium)
Lineage: Bacteria; Bacillati; Bacillota; Bacilli; Caryophanales; Bacillaceae
Description: bacterial SSU rRNA
Rfam family: Bacterial small subunit ribosomal RNA
Source: RNAcentral